This 72-nucleotide transfer RNA is filed under the name Pangasianodon hypophthalmus (striped catfish). RNAcentral describes it as "tRNA-Glu". Lineage: Eukaryota; Metazoa; Chordata; Actinopteri; Siluriformes; Pangasiidae. The record is from RNAcentral.
UGUAGGGAGGACUAGUGGUUAGGCCUUGGUGCUCUCACCACCAUGGCCCGGGUUUGAUUCCCAGCCAGGGAU